Bufo bufo (common toad) is the source of this 670-nucleotide long non-coding RNA. RefSeq lists it as uncharacterized. The record is from RefSeq and is a predicted model, not a curated record. NCBI's taxonomy places the organism in Eukaryota, Metazoa, Chordata, Amphibia, Anura, Bufonidae. The transcript has 4 exons.
AGACGCCGGCCAUGAUCAGAUAUUUCCUGUUGUAUCUGCGCCAGCGACGCUGAGACUGUACUGGAGAGGGAUUCUUGUAAGUCAGAUCAUGAUUCUCUGUUUACCAUUGGUGCCUGGCUUGGGUUUUCAGUCACUGAAGAGGAUCUGUCCGCUCUCCUGACAUGUCUCUUACCAAGGCUCUGGGACUCUAGGACGCUGUCGUCCAGCAGGUGGCGCUGUUUCUCUGAUGGAAAUGUGGCACUCUUACUUUCAACCACACUGAACUGACACAUCACGCUGGAUACAUGAGGAGAGAGAAGCCAGAGAGGUGCUUAUGGAGAGACGAGGUUUUUAGGAGAUAUGAGCAAUAUUGGAUUGUGAAGCACUGAAUCUGUGAAUUGGUGCAUUAUCGAAGGUCUGCAUCUGCUGGAAUGGUCGAAAGAGUACCUAUUGAGGAGCAGCGCGGUUUCUAUCUUGUGAAGUGAAACUUGGUGUGAACAGGACCCACCACACCCGUAACCUGCAGCGCUCAAAGUAGGAUGGACAAUUUGGAACUUGUUAUUUGUGUUGGUUACUGGUUUGUGUCUCCUGAUUCCGUGCAUUUGUCUCUCCUGGUCUGACCCGGCUUGUCUGUUUCAGUUAUGGCCGAUUUGUCACUAGCUUAUUAUUUUCUCCCCAUUUCUAUUUUCCC